AUUGAACGCUGGCGGUAGGCCUAACACAUGCAAGUCGAGCGGAUGAAGGGAACUAGCUCCUGGAUACAGCGGCGGAGGGGCGAGUAAUGCCUAGGAAUCUGCCUGGUAGCGUGGGAUAACGGCCGGAAACGGGCGCUAAUACCGCAAACCUCCUUAGGGAGUAAGGGUGGAAUCUUCGGACCUCACGCUAUCACAUGAUCCAAGGUCGGAUUAGCUAGUUGGUGGGGUAAAGGCCUACCAAGGCGACGAUCCGUAACUGGUCUGAGAGGAUGAUCAGUCACACUGGAACUGAGACACGGUCCAGACUCCUACGGGAGGCAGCAGUGGGGAAUAUUGGACAAUGGGCGAAAGCCUGAUCCAGCCAUGCCGCGUGUGUGAAGAAGGUCUUCGGAUUGUAAAGCCCUUUAGGUUGGGAAGAAGAGCAGUAAGUUAAUACCUUGCUGUUUUGACGUUACCAACAGAAUAAGCACCGGCUAACUUCGUG
This 484-nucleotide ribosomal RNA is filed under the name uncultured bacterium. RNAcentral describes it as "partial 16S ribosomal RNA". It matches the Rfam family "Bacterial small subunit ribosomal RNA", at positions 30 to 507 of the family's 1533-position model. The record is from RNAcentral.